UACGGAGGGUGCAAGCGUUGUUCGGAUUUACUGGGCGUAAAGGGCGUGUAGGCGGAGGCGCAAGCCGGAGGUGAAAUCCCUGGGCUCAACCCGGGACGUGCUUUCGGAACUACGUUUCUUGAGACAGGCAGAGGCAGGUGGAAUUCCAGGUGUAGAGGUGAAAUUCGUAGAGAUCUGGAGGAACACCGGCGGCGAAGGCGGCCUGCUGGGCCUAGUCUGACGCUGAGGCGCGAAAGCGUGGGUAGCAAACAGG
RNAcentral lists this ribosomal RNA (253 nucleotides) under uncultured bacterium. Its description in RNAcentral is "partial 16S ribosomal RNA". It matches the Rfam family "Bacterial small subunit ribosomal RNA", at positions 524 to 776 of the family's 1533-position model. The record is from RNAcentral.